This 197-nucleotide unclassified non-coding RNA is filed under the name Glomeraceae sp. Its description in RNAcentral is "partial contains 5.8S ribosomal RNA and internal transcribed spacer 2". The stretch from base 1 to 71 matches the Rfam family "5.8S ribosomal RNA", at positions 84 to 154 of the family's 154-position model. The record is from RNAcentral. Lineage: Eukaryota; Fungi; Glomeromycota; Glomeromycetes; Glomerales; Glomeraceae.
GUGAAUCAUCAAAUUUUUGAACGCAAAUUGCACUCUCUGGUAUUCCGGAGAGUAUGCCUGUUUGAGGGUCAGUUUAACUAAAAAUCGGUGUGGUUGCUGCCUUUCGUGGUGACGCACCGGAUGUGGGUCGGCGUGCCUUCGGUUAAGUGACCCAUAAUUUUGCAUGAUUUUUUCGAACGUAUUUUAAUGAUAUUACG